CCUACGGGGGGCAGCAGUCGAGAAUCUUCCGCAAUGGACGAAAGUCUGACGGAGCGACGCCGCGUGGUUGAUGAAGUGCUUCGGCAUGUAAAAACCUUUUAUGAGGGAAAAAGUUUAUUGAUUGUACCUCAUGAAUAAGGGGUUGCUAAACUCGUGCCAGCAGCAGCGGUAAUACGAGUGCCCCAAGCGUUAUCCGGAAUUAUUGGGCGUAAAGGGUGCGUAGGUGGUGGUAUUAGUCUAGCGUUAAAUCCUUCGGCUUAACCGAAGAAUCGCGC
RNAcentral lists this ribosomal RNA (275 nucleotides) under uncultured bacterium. RNAcentral's name for it is "partial 16S ribosomal RNA". It matches the Rfam family "Bacterial small subunit ribosomal RNA", at positions 338 to 626 of the family's 1533-position model. The record is from RNAcentral.